GUGGGAGAGGGGGUGGGCAUGUGGACCAGGCCAGCCGCCACCGAGGACACCUUGUGUGGCCCCAGUCCUGGCACUGGCCUGGCUCCUAGUGAGGGUGGCCAGACCCUGGGCAGGGCUUCGUCGGCUGAGCUGCCUCCUGGCUGGUGGGCCUCAGCCUGCUUCUGAGGGAGGAGCAGCCCAGGUGUCCCUCAGCCUGUUUCAGCUCCAGCCGCUCCCUCGUGUUCUGUCUGCACUUAGUCCCCCCACGUGCUGCCCACCUCACACACACCGCUGCCUUCCUGCCUGCUGGAAGCUGGGUGAGACAGCCUGCCCUCUUGCAGAGCAUCACAGGGGCACCUGGCCCUCCACUGCCCCACCUCUGACCUCUGUGGUGUCACUGUGCUGCCCUGGGGACCCCAGGGUCAAGGGCUCGAGCUGUGUGCCCAGCUGUGGCCCCUCCAAAGAGUCCAGAACCAACCAAGGCCCUUGACUGUGCAACCCUGGUUCUUGCCUCGCCUGAGAGUCUCUGCCCAAAUGCAUCUGGAGUCCCUGCCCUGCCAUGGAACUAGAGGUCGGAAGAGUGCAAGUGUGGGAUCGCUGUCCCCACCGGAGGCCCAGGACAAGCCACCCGGGUGAGGAGAGCUGGCAAGAAAGGAGGACCAUCCCUAGACACCUUGUGUUUGAAUGAGUCUGCUCAAGCCUCAGUACUUGUCUGCUCUUCAUUUUUGCAUUUCAAUCCUGUUCCAUCUGGGCUUUCUGUAGGAAUGAG
RNAcentral lists this long non-coding RNA (748 nucleotides) under Pan troglodytes (chimpanzee). Its description in RNAcentral is "long non-coding RNA NONPTRT009745". The record is from RNAcentral. Lineage: Eukaryota; Metazoa; Chordata; Mammalia; Primates; Hominidae.